Molecule: long non-coding RNA, 221 nt
Filed under: Brassica rapa (field mustard)
Lineage: Eukaryota; Viridiplantae; Streptophyta; Magnoliopsida; Brassicales; Brassicaceae
Description: long non-coding RNA (BRAP_LNC003011)
Source: RNAcentral
GCCUAACAGCAAAAUGCACUGCCCACGCUUCGGCUGAAAGAAAAGAGAGCAACACUGCUCCAAUCCAUCACCUACCUAUUUCAGAGCACGUGAAGGCCCAUUGGGUUAUUGAUACUGAUCUCCGAAAUAAAGCUCGCAAAAGAGCACGUUGUGAAUUAUGGACUUUUGGUCACUAGUUAUGAUUUUUUUAUUUUAUUUUCGGCAAGUUCAUAUAUUUUCCC